Long non-coding RNA from Siniperca chuatsi (mandarin fish), 843 nucleotides. RefSeq lists it as uncharacterized. The transcript is spliced from 3 exons. NCBI's taxonomy places the organism in Eukaryota, Metazoa, Chordata, Actinopteri, Centrarchiformes, Sinipercidae. The record is from RefSeq and is a predicted model, not a curated record.
AGAGACAGGCAGUCAAAGAGAGACAGUCAGAGAGAAAGACAGGAGAGAGACAGGAGAGAGAGAGACAGGCAGGCGGUGAGACAGACAGGCAGAGAGACAGGCAGGCGGUCAGAGAGAGAGACAGGCGAAAGUGUAACAGGUGUGGAUGUUGGUGUGUAACAGGUGUGGAUGUUGAGGUGUUACAGGUGUGGAUGUUGAGGUGUAACAGGUGUGGAUGUUGGUGUGUAACAGGUGUGGAUGUUGAGGUGUAACAGGUGUGGAUGUUGAGGUGUAACAGGUGUGGAUGUUGAGGUGUUACAGGUGUGGAUGUUGGUGUGUAACAGGUGUGGAUGUUGGUGUGUAACAGGUGUGGAUGUUGAGGUGUAACAGGUGUGGAUGUUGGUGUGUAACAGGUGUGGAUGUUGGUGUGUAACAGGUGUGGAUGUACUGGUGUAACAGGUGUGGAUGUACUGGUGUAACAGGUGUGGAUGUUGGUGUGUACAGGUGUGGAUGUUGGUGUGUAACAGGUGUGGAUGUUGAGGUGUAACAGGUGUGGAUGUUGGGGUGUAACAGGUGUGGAUGUUGGGGUGUAACAGGUGUGGAUGUUGGUGUGUAACAGGUGUGGAUGUUGGUGUGUAACAGGUGUGGAUGUACUGGUGUAACAGGUGUGGAUGUUGAGGUGUUACAGGUGUGGAUGUUGGGGUGUAACAGGUGUGGAUGUUGGGGUGUAACAGGUGUGGAUGUUGGGGUGUAACAGGUGUGGAUGUUGUGGUGUAACAGGUGUGGAUGUUGGUGUGUAACAGGUGUGGAUGUUGGUGUGUAACAGGUGUGGAUGUUGGGGUGCAACAGGUGUGGAUGUACUGG